Molecule: ribosomal RNA, 253 nt
Filed under: uncultured bacterium
Lineage: Bacteria
Description: partial 16S ribosomal RNA
Rfam family: Bacterial small subunit ribosomal RNA
Source: RNAcentral
UACAGAGGGCUCAAGCGUUGUUCGGAUUCAUUGGGCGUAAAGGGUGCGUAGGCGGCGAGGCAAGUCUGGUGUGAAAUCCCGGGGCUCAACCCCGGAACUGCACUGGAUACUGCUUUGCUAGAGUACUGGAGAGGGGACUGGAAUUUACGGUGUAGCAGUGAAAUGCGUAGAUAUCGUAAGGAAGACCAGCGGCGAAGGCGAGUUCCUGGACAGUUACUGACGCUGAGGCACGAAGGCCAGGGGAGCAAACGGG